Molecule: long non-coding RNA, 303 nt
Organism: Osmerus eperlanus (European smelt)
Lineage: Eukaryota; Metazoa; Chordata; Actinopteri; Osmeriformes; Osmeridae
Exons: 4
Source: RefSeq, a predicted model, not a curated record
CGUUGUAACAUGGUAAUAUUGUCACAUGGUAAUAUUGUAACAUGGUAACGUUGUUGUCCCUCCAGGUGGUUCUCAGGGUCCAGUUCCCAGACAGAUGUGUGUUACAGGGGUUCUUCAAGCCUCUGGAAACAGUUGCUGCUCUGAGGCACUUUGUGAAGAGCCACCUAGAAGACCCACAGCUUCAGUUCUACUUAUUCAUCGCCCCUCCUAAAACCAUCCUGGACGACCCUCUGCUACUCUGUUCCAGGCUAACCUCUUCCCUGCUGCCCUGGUCUACUUUGGGUCGGACGUGAGGCCAGUUUG